RNAcentral lists this non-coding RNA (708 nucleotides) under Goniodes ortygis. Lineage: Eukaryota; Metazoa; Arthropoda; Insecta; Psocodea; Philopteridae. The record is from RNAcentral.
AAUCAUUUGUUUUUUGGAUACCAACUCCACAUUAUCAUAUAAACUUCUAAUCAAUAUUUUAAUUACUUGAUUAUAUAUAGUGACAGAAGGAAUCUUGCCAAUCUUUUGAAGAUGCAGUGAGGAUAAUUAUCCAUGUAGUAAAGUUGUGCCAGCACUAGCGGUUAAACAACUCUUGUAUGGAGUGUGAGUAAUUCAUUCUUUUAGGUAAAAGAAAUAAUAGUUUUUAUUAGUGAAAUAAUAAAAAGUUAUAAUUAUUUAAUAUUCUAAUAAUAGAAGGAUAGAAAAUAAACCAGGAUUAGAUACCCUGCUAUACUAAUCUCGAACUAAGAAGGUGAUUUUAACAACAAACAUGGCGGUCCUUAACCUAAUUAGAGGGGUAUGUUAUGAAAAUGAAUUUGCACAAUUAAUUAUUCUAUCUUUUGUAAUUCCAUUCUUCCUAUCGCUGUCUGAAAAACUCUUUAUAAGAAGAGUUUAGCUUCUAACUUAAGUAAUAAGACAAGUAAACGUGAAGACAAUAGGAUAGAAAUAAUGUACUCCAUUGAUAAUUUUACAUUCUAGAGUUGAAUAAUUCUAACUAAAUUUGAAUAGAAGAAUUUAACAGUAAAUUUGAUUAAUUAUAUCAAGUUGAACUAGUAAUUAGGGACGUACAAAUUGCCCGUCACUCCAAAGUGGAGAAGUCGUAACACAGUUGGUUUACUGGAAGGUGAA